CCAUGUCUGUUUUGGCAUUCUUUCUACGGCUGGAUGCCCUUCCUAAUGCCAACCACUUUACAGAGUGUAAUGGUUGCUUUUACACAGCAUUGGCCCAGGAGCUUUUUACAUGGCACCAGCAC
Octopus sinensis (East Asian common octopus) is the source of this 122-nucleotide long non-coding RNA. RefSeq lists it as uncharacterized. The transcript is spliced from 3 exons. The record is from RefSeq and is a predicted model, not a curated record. Lineage: Eukaryota; Metazoa; Mollusca; Cephalopoda; Octopoda; Octopodidae.